RNAcentral lists this transfer RNA (66 nucleotides) under Eremitalpa granti (Grant's golden mole). RNAcentral describes it as "transfer RNA-Thr". Lineage: Eukaryota; Metazoa; Chordata; Mammalia; Afrosoricida; Chrysochloridae. The record is from RNAcentral.
GUCUCAGUAGUAUAAUUAUUACAGUGGUCUUGUAAACCACCAAUGGAAAUAAAUUUCCAUAAGACA